Xiphias gladius (swordfish) is the source of this 849-nucleotide long non-coding RNA. RefSeq lists it as uncharacterized. The record is from RefSeq and is a predicted model, not a curated record. Lineage: Eukaryota; Metazoa; Chordata; Actinopteri; Istiophoriformes; Xiphiidae. The transcript is spliced from 3 exons.
AAGAAAGCUGUGGGGCUUUUCCUCAUUAAUAGGCUAAUGUUAGUCUUCCGGUCUUGCUAAUGAUAUUAGCUACAUUGCUGAAGGGCUAGUAAGUUGGCUUGCAGCGAUGGAGAGGGAAGACGUGCUGUAAAUAAACAACCCCCCACAAAAUGACCAACACAGCAACAAGUGCAGUUGGAUAACACACGACAUGGACGCUUUAUAUCCAUGAAUGAAAAGAGAAAUUACCUCAGCGUCAAAAGCGAGCUGGGCCCCUGUGAGCUGCCCUCAGAGACCCCUUCUGCUCUCAUCCAGAUCCAGCAAGACAGAGGAAAAAGACAGAGCACAGAUCACAGCUAAUGCACUGAAUCACCAACCACAGCAUAACAUGCUGAUAAAAGAUGCCUUUACAGGCUACGGCCUGCCACGCCUCCAGCCUGCAGAGCAACCCGAGGACUGUCUCUCCUCCCCUCCCUUUACUCCGGCCCCCAGCUGAGGCUGUUUAGACAGCCCAUUAACAUGCUCGUUCUGCCGUCACUAAACAAUCAUACAACGGCUGGUUAGGCAUCCGACUGACCGUAUCUGAGAGGUUAUGGCCCUAACCGUGGCUCUCCUAUUGGCAGUGACAUGAGGCUCUAACACUUGAUAUACUUCCCGGCAGGAUUCCAGAUUCAUUUCUCAGGCCUCAGUGACACUGGCUAGAAGGCGUACAGAAUAGCAUUUACUUUUCUAGCUUGUACUGUGCAGAAAGUUUGACAAGAAUAGAUGAGUUAGUGAUGGUGCUAAGAUGUAUUUUUGAGCAUAUUACUUGUAGAGUUUCUCCUUAAUAAGGAUAGAUGGUGUUAUACUGUAUGUUGUAGAGACUGCAAA